This 517-nucleotide ribosomal RNA is filed under the name uncultured bacterium. Its description in RNAcentral is "bacterial SSU rRNA". It matches the Rfam family "Bacterial small subunit ribosomal RNA", at positions 791 to 1310 of the family's 1533-position model. The record is from RNAcentral.
UAGUCCACGCCCUAAACGAUGCUUACUCGAUGUUUGGACUUAGGUUUGAGCAUCCAAGGGAAACCAUUAAGUAGACCGCCUGGGGAGUACGGCCGCAAGGUUAAAACUCAAAUGAAUUGACGGGGGCCCGCACAAGUGGUGGAGCAUGUGGUUUAAUUCGAUGCAACGCGAAGAACCUUACCUACUCUUGACAUCCAGUGAAGCAGAAAGAGAUUUUUGUGUGCCUUCGGGAACACUGAGACAGGUGCUGCAUGGCUGUCGUCAGCUCGUGUUGUGAAAUGUUGGGUUAAGUCCCGCAACGAGCGCAACCCCUAUCCUUAGUUGCCAGCGCGUAAUGGCGGGAACUCUAGGGAGACUGCCGGUGAUAAACCGGNGGAAGGUGGGGACGACGUCAAGUCAUCAUGGCCCUUACGAGUAGGGCUACACACGUGCUACAAUGGCGUAUACAAAGGGCAGCCAACCAGCAAUGGUGCGCGAAUCCCAUAAAGUACGUCGUAGUCCGGAUUGGGGUCUGCAA